CAUCAGUACCUCUUGUAUACAGGGCCCAGGAUUUGGUGCCACGGCCCUCAUAUAUGUAGCAAAAUUCAAAUGGCAAUGCAAUUUGCAAUUUGCAAUUCAAUAUGUCAUUACAUUAUGCAAUUGACAAUUCAUUAUGCAAUUUUAUAAUGUAAUUUGUAAAUACGUUAUUCAAAGUGUAUUUUAAUAUGCAAAGUGACAAUGCAAUCCUCAAUUAAGUUUGCAAAAGUUAUAACAAUAAAAAUAGAAUAACAUUUUGUCCAAUUCUUUGAGUUCCUUUAUUCAAAUUGAAAAGCUAGAGGGUCCCCGUGAUUGCAAUCCACUUUGCCACGCUCCGUGUGUUGCGAUAUUCAAAUGACAUUUCAAUCCGCAAAACGAACGCUUUGCAAAAGAUUUGGCAAAACGGAAUCCAAAACGUUUUCCAAAACGGAAUCCAAAACGUUUUCCAAAAAGUCAAUAUGCAAAGUGGCAAACGUAUCAGCCAAUCAGCGUAUGGGCGGGAAUUACGUCACUUCCUAUUGCCUCCAAGGGUAUCUCCAGAGAAUGUCUAAUAUGAGGAGAAUGGGCACUCGCUGGUUAGUUCCGGUUUUCUGGAAUGGUUGCAGUAAUAAUCUCUGUCCACGCGGGGUGCUCGUAGGCGAGUCCAGAAUGAAUGGGAGCCUAUGGGGUUUUAUCCUCAGAAUCCACUUUUCUCACAAUGUCAUUUUUUGUCAAGUAAUUUGAAAGUUGCGUUCAAAAGGUGGGGCUAAAAUAAUAAACUCAGCUGAAUAUUGCA
Long non-coding RNA from Gadus macrocephalus (Pacific cod), 772 nucleotides. RefSeq lists it as uncharacterized. The transcript is spliced from 2 exons. The record is from RefSeq and is a predicted model, not a curated record. NCBI's taxonomy places the organism in Eukaryota, Metazoa, Chordata, Actinopteri, Gadiformes, Gadidae.